GGAAUUUUGGGCAAUGGGCGAAAGCCUGACCCAGCAACGCCGCGUGAGGGAUGAAGGCCCUCGGGUCGUAAACCUCUGUCGGGAGGGAAGAACGGUUUCCAGGCGAACAGGCUGGAAGCCUGACGGUACCUCCAACGGAAGCACCGGCUAACGCCGUGCCAGCCGCCGCGGUAAUACGGAGGGGGCUAGCGUUGUUCGGAAUUAUUGGGCGUAAAGCGCGUGUAGGCGGCUUGACAAGUCGGAUGUGAAAUCCCGGGGCUCAACCCCGGAACUGCAUUCGAUACUGUCUCGCUAGAGUCCCGGAGAGGAAGGCGGAAUUCCCGGUGUAGAGGUGAAAUUCGUAGAUAUCGGGAGGAACACCAGUGGCGAAGGCGGCCUUCUGGACGGUGACUGACGCUGAGACGCGAAAGCGUGGGGAGCAAAC
Molecule: ribosomal RNA, 424 nt
Filed under: uncultured bacterium
Lineage: Bacteria
Description: bacterial SSU rRNA
Rfam family: Bacterial small subunit ribosomal RNA
Source: RNAcentral